UAUGUGAAUGUUCCUUGUAAGUAUUUAUUUUUAUUUUCUCUAGCAGAAGCUGACAAAUAAAGCAUCUCCUGCCCUUCAAAACUUUUGCAGUCUGUGCAGAGAUUCUGCAAGCGAGGGCUUUGCUUAGUACACUUAAUUAGAAUUUGCUUAUUAUAACAGUGGAAAAUACAAGCUGGUUUGACUCUGGGAAUUAAAUUGGCUGCAUUCUAUUUUUGGUUACCAUCAGUUGCUUCCUAGUAUUGGCAAAGAUGCUCAUGAAAUCUGGAUAUGUCUGGAGCAGGAAAGGUUAGUAGAUUUAACAGGGAGGCAUUAAAAGUUGAUUAAAAGAGCAGUUGUAGAAGGAUCUCAGUYAGGUGAAUCUCUGUUAGACAGGUUUUUGUGGGAACGAGGGCAUGAAUUGCUGUUACUGAGCAACCCAGACCACAAGAUAGAGCCGGGUGAGAUAGAAGAGGAUGGGAAAGAAGAGGACGUGACUACAGCAGUGUAACAUGUACCUCGCACUGACCAUGAAGAAGAAACAUAGUAAGAAGCAAGAACAARGAGCAAUUGARRAACAAUAGGACGAUUGAAGAAAGUGCAAAAUGCUGAGAACGUUGAUUUAAAACUGCAAGGCAUACAAAAACACGCUUUUGCAAAUAUACCAAUCAUAUGCUGAAAUGUAAUAGACAGACUGCUAAAUUAACCAAUGAAUAAUUGCUAAUCAUAUAGAGAGGCUGGCUUAUGAAAGUAGAUAAAAAGGAGCUUGUAUUAGAAAUAAACGGAUCGUGCUCAUCAUAUUGGUGUCUGCGUGACCUGGUGUCCCCGUCGCCCAGAAAGCAGUAACUUGGACUUCAAUGUGUAGCAUAAUUUCAGCAUUGCUCCAGGGGCACAGCAAUUUAUCAUCCUCCCAAAGCCAAAGCCCUUCUCAGUAUGGAGAAAAGAGCUGAAGCUCCAUGGCCGAGGAUCCUUGGGAUGCAAGAGUGCUCAGUAAACUUAGUUGUGGGCAUCCUGUACCUGCAUUCCAGCACUCAUAACUCCUACAUACAAACUGCAGCUUCCUGCAGUGUUUGUGCAUGUGCAGCACCUCUGCGUUUGGACAGAUCAAAGACUGGUCACUGUGCAGCAGUCUGCUUUGCAGAUGGCCACAAGCACUUUUAGGUUUUAUCUCAAAUUAACUUAGUAAACUCAGCAACGCGUGGGCUUUUCACAGCACCUUAGGCAGACUGAAGUGGAAUUGAUGAAUAAUCAGUGAUGCAACAGCUGUUAUCCAGAGAUAACAGAGGUCUUCAGGCUGCAGAUGUGCAUGGGGUCAAGGGAGACAAUGUUGUACAUGAAAAAGACAUACAAUGGAGUUCUGUGUAUUUUCUUCAGAUUUCAAGAACAAAGAAGCAACGAUCUUUUGUCUGCUGCUGCCAUUCCCUGCUUCACCAUUAAGGUCGUUUUCUUUUCUUUUUUUUUUUUUUUUCCUUAAUGGGAGGUAUUUUGAAAUAGACCUCUGUCAAUCAUGCCCUGAAAAAAAUGAGCCCAUCCAUGAGCAGAAGCCUUUUAAAAAGUUGAAAAAUGCUGAACGUCAAAAUGUGUAGCAAUAAGUUAACAUAACACUUUGGAUACAUGUAAUUUGGAUAUUUAUUUCAAAGACACGUUCUUUUUUAAUCACUCAGUAUGCCAAGUUUCAAAGGAAAAUGAAAAAUCGAAGAAAACAAGACUUGCGCUCAGUAAAGAUCUUUCCAGCCUCCAACAGUGGUCAAGAGAACUGUGUAAGGACAGGGCUAGCAAAGAGAAACCAUUCCUUCAGUGUAUCUUCCUGGCAUUCUGUGAUUAAAGAAUUUCUGAGUUCAUGUUGUAUCCAGAUCUUUGUGUUGAAUUGCAUUUAUAAACCAUUCUUGUCUAGCUUUGUUUCUUUGUGUUUAUAAUUGAUACUAUACAGGAAAAGAUGCUGCCUCUCUUCUGAUCUUGCCGUUCAUUGUUUCAGGUGAAGCCCAUUAAUAUUUGUAUUGUGAGAAGUGGUGAAAAUCUUUUCCCUUGCUGCCUCUCUAUAUCUGUCACAAUGUUAUAUACAUCACUGCUGUUGCUCAGUUAGAGUCUGUCUGCUUAGUCGCACUCAAAAAUCACCUCUGCUUUUAAGCACAUUUGUGCAAUAUUUCACCGGGCUUCCAGCGCAGCUGGGGAAGGAAGCGCAAGACAAACCUUGAGCUGUGC
Long non-coding RNA from Malurus melanocephalus (red-backed fairy wren), 2178 nucleotides. RefSeq lists it as uncharacterized. The transcript has 4 exons. The record is from RefSeq and is a predicted model, not a curated record. Lineage: Eukaryota; Metazoa; Chordata; Aves; Passeriformes; Maluridae.